UAAGGAAUAUUGCGCAAUGGACGAAAGUCUGACGCAGCAACGCCGCGUGCAGGAUGAAGGCCCUUUGGGUCGUAAACUGCUGUAGCAGGGGAAUAAAAGUCCACCGCGGGUGGAUUUGAAGGUACCCUGAAAGUAAGCUCCGGCUAACUACGUGCCAGCAGCCGCGGUAAUACGUAGGGAGCAAGCGUUGUCCGGAUUCACUGGGUGUAAAGGGUGCGCAGGCGGGAGAGUAAGUCAGAGGUGAAAUCUCACAGCUUAACUGUGAAACUGCCUUUGAUACUGCUUUUCUUGAGUUCGGGAGAGGUUGAUGGAAUUCCAGGUGUAGCGGUGAAAUGCGUAGAUAUCUGGAAGAACACCAGUGGCGAAGGCGGUCAACUGGCCCGUAACUGACGCUCAGGCACGAAAGCGUGGGUAGCGAACAG
This 422-nucleotide ribosomal RNA is filed under the name uncultured bacterium. RNAcentral describes it as "bacterial SSU rRNA". It matches the Rfam family "Bacterial small subunit ribosomal RNA", at positions 355 to 775 of the family's 1533-position model. The record is from RNAcentral.